CGUUCGCGGCUGCAGGUGCCGAAAGGCCGCAGGUGAGGAAAGUCCGGGCUUCACAGGGCAGGAUGCCGGAUAACGUCCGGUGGAGGUGACUCCAAGGAAAGUGCAACAGAAAUAAACCGCCUGUCAUAUGACAGGUAAGGGUGGAAAGGCAGUGUAAGAGACUACCGCCCGUCUGGUAACAGAAGGGGCACAUGUAAACCCCAUCCGAAGCAAGACCGAAUCAAAACGAUGUGGCGGCCCGUCACGUUUUAGGUAGGUCGCUUGAACCUGCUGGCGACAGCAGGUCUGGAUAGAUGAACGUCCAACGACAUAACCCGGCUUAUCGUUUUGCUUG
RNAcentral lists this RNase P RNA (334 nucleotides) under uncultured Bariatricus sp. RNAcentral's name for it is "Bacterial RNase P class A". It matches the Rfam family "Bacterial RNase P class A". From Rfam's summary of the family: Ribonuclease P (RNase P) is a ubiquitous endoribonuclease, found in archaea, bacteria and eukarya as well as chloroplasts and mitochondria. The record is from RNAcentral. Lineage: Bacteria; Bacillati; Bacillota; Clostridia; Lachnospirales; Lachnospiraceae.